Non-coding RNA from Mycena sp. CBHHK59/15, 86 nucleotides. NCBI's taxonomy places the organism in Eukaryota, Fungi, Basidiomycota, Agaricomycetes, Agaricales, Mycenaceae. The record is from the annotation of a GenBank genome assembly.
GGCUGCGUAGUGUAGCGGUUAUCACAUCAGACUCUGACUUCCGUAUCUCGACUCUGGUGACCCCGGUUCGAUUCCGGGCGCGGCCU